CCUACCGAACUUCUUUCAUUCACCAUUGUUAUUGUUGCAUUCCCCUCCCCUUUCCUCUUUUUUUUUUUUGACGUCGUCUGGAGGUUACUGGUCGUUGCCGCGUCGGCUCGCUCUUCCAGUCAUCCUUCUUCUUCAGCCCUAAGGGCUCGGUAAUGCAUAUUAAAUAAAUAACAUGAGAAGGAAAUUUUUCGCUACCUCUUUUACUCAUGU
Molecule: long non-coding RNA, 210 nt
Filed under: Elaeis guineensis (African oil palm)
Lineage: Eukaryota; Viridiplantae; Streptophyta; Magnoliopsida; Arecales; Arecaceae
Description: long non-coding RNA (EGUI_LNC058675)
Source: RNAcentral